Triticum aestivum (bread wheat) is the source of this 3424-nucleotide RNA transcript. It is a transcript of the gene named double-stranded RNA-binding protein 2, with no coding region annotated. Lineage: Eukaryota; Viridiplantae; Streptophyta; Magnoliopsida; Poales; Poaceae. The record is from RefSeq and is a predicted model, not a curated record. The transcript has 6 exons.
UGACACACGGGCUCGGAGGAGUCUCGUCGUUCUCCCAAGGAGAAAAAAAACCGAGAAAAGGAGUGGGAGGAGUAGGAUGCAGACGAAAAGCACCGGAAACCAACACGCCUCCCUUCCCAAUCUCGCUGCUAAUGGCCGCCGCCCACAGCUGCAGCGCCGCCGCCCUAGCCUAAUGGCGUAGCUGAGCCCACCCUCGCAGUCGCGGCCAAACCAAGCGACCACGCGGAGGCAGCAGCUAACAGAAAGGAGAGAUUUUUGUCGCGGCUGUCGGUGGUUCGUCUCUUCGCUGCCUUUUUCCCUUUCGCUUCCUGCCACGGUUGGAAGGGAGAGGGGUCGAGGUGAAGGGAGAGUCGGCGGUCUCUCGGCGCAGGACUGGGAGUACAGCACUGGCUAUUAAUAAUCUGAGGCCUCUUCUUAUCUACUGCAACAAGGGGGCGUCACAGCAAGGGUUAAGGCCAGAAGCAGCUCUUCUCAACUCUAAACAUAGCUUCAUACACUGCUUGAUUGAUACUUCCUUUUCGAAGGCAUGUUCAAGAACCAGCUGCAGGAGCUUGCGCAGAGGAGCUGCUUCAACUUGCCGUCCUAUGCGUGCAUCCGCGAGGGGCCAGAUCAUGCGCCCCGGUUUAAGGCCACGGUUACUUUUAAUGGGGAAUCAUUUGAGAGCCCGGGGUUCUAUCCCACCUUGCGGCAGGCAGAGCAUGCGGCAGCUGAGGUAGCGCUCAAUGAGUUGUCCAAGAGGGGGCCUUCAUCAUCGCUUGCUGCAAAAGUCCUGGAUGAAACUGGGAUCUACAAGAACCUGCUCCAAGAAACUGCUCAUCGGGCCGGUUUAAAACUGCCUAUGUACACUACUAUUAGAUCUGGACCAGGGCAUACACCAACGUUCACGUGUACAGUGGAGUUAGCAGGAAGGAUCUUCACUGGCAAUCCUGGCAAGACCAAGAAACAAGCCCAAAAAAAUGCAGCUAUGGUGGCCUGGUCUGAAUUGAAGCAGCUGCCUCUAGUAGGUGAGGCAGCAUCAGUAGGUGAGGCAGCAUCUUCAUCUUCUCCAUCCGAUCAUGACAAGGAGCAGGAACAGGUCACAGUUACCCGCACUCUUGAAAACUUGGACCGAAAAAAUGAAGGCAAGGCAUCACAUCAAAAGGAAAAACAGCAAAGCAAUAACCGCUCACAAUCUCGGAGAUCUUAUCCUAAACCACAUGUGUCAUUUUACGGGUCACACUUACAAAAUCAGAUGUACCCAAAUGUUGCACCAGAGCAAGCAAUGUACCAUAUGUGGAACCAAGUGCAAGCAGCACAGCAGAAGCCCCAUCUUCCGAUGGUUCAAGCUAUGGGCAACACAAGGUUUCAACCGCCACCAACUAUGCUCUCCAUGUACCCUCCUCCACCUAGAAGGCAGUUUGCCGUGCCAGCCAGCCAAGAUGCUUUAGCUCUUCUUCCAUGUUUUCCUGAAACUGCUCCUGUCCUUCCUCGGUACUUCUCGCCUUACCCUGCCACCUAUGUAUCAAGAAGUCCAUUGCCAGUUACUGUGCACACAGUGCACAGGGAAAGACAAGGGUAUACUGAGACAGUUGAGCUUCCUGACGCCGCAGUUUUAUCCGAAUACACUGCUCUAGAUUCCUCUAGCACUCCAGAAAAUGUCGGUCCAAGUCAGGUUCAACAAUGGCCUGAAAAUGGGAAAGAGGUGUAUACAGAGAGUAGUGCUGCCUCCGUGGAAGAGAAUAAAGCUUCUCAAACUCUGUCAAGCUCCACAGCACAUCCACUGUCACAGAAGUUGGAACCAAAUCAAGAUGACAAAGAGUCAAAGAAGCCAGCGGAACAGCCACCAAAGCCAUCAUUGUCUCAUGCUGGAUCAUCUGUUGUACAAAGACCUGUCCAACGACAGGGUUAUUCUAGUCCUGUUCAGCACGGCGAGCCCAUCCACAGAAGUAAUCUUCCGUUCAGCAGGGCAACAUCACCAGAGUUAUGGCCUUUGGACAUGCAAGCUCCAGCGAGAUAUGGAGCUGCGACUCCUAUGAGUUCAUCAGGUUUGUUAUACCAGCAGCGGCCCCCUUGGUUGGCGGCCCCUGUUACGGUCCGAACUUCUAUCCCUGUGUGCUCAGCUAGGCCAAAUGCUGCGGUGGUGAACUCUAGCCCUGGAGCAGCAGCGCGAGCGCGGCCUGCUGUUCAGAUCCUCUCCAGGGAGGACCCUGAAGCCCACAGGAACACGAGACACGUGGGCGACGCUUCGACGGCGAGUUCAGAACUCAAUAAGCUCCAUAUGUGAGCGAUGCUACGACAGCAAGUUGAGACCAGUAGCGAGCUUUAGUUAGGGCUCGGACAUGGCAGUAUAUCAGUUUUGGCCACUUCGUUUCCACAUUCGGGUUAGAGCUCUCCGGGUGAAAUAGUUUCAGCUUUGGUCGGCACUCGUCAGCGUUGCCAUACCUAGCUGGCAAUGCCUCGUGUUUUCUCGGCAGUUUCAGCGUCGGCUGGGCAGAGGUCUUGCCGAUUGCUUGAAAAUAAAAAUGUCCCAAUGUUAAAAUUUUAGUCAUGGCCUAAUGUCGGUAGAGCAAGGUAUUGGUCACCAAGGCAACUCAAAACCUGCCAAAAAUCGUUCAAGUUCUGUGUGCUUGGCAAACUGAGUCGGUAGCCAACCAAUUGAUGGCUGGUGGUAAACCUGUGAAUAGUUUGGAUUGAAACCUUAGUUUCAGUUUGGUUUUCCUACAGAACUGUCUUUGGAUUGGAUUGAAUGGGCUGAGCCCCUAGCGUAAUCUGGUGUGGUCUGGGUUUUGCGUAUUGUUGGAUUAGUUUGGUUCCGUUUGGACACAAACAAAAUGGUUUCAAACUGUUUCAACCCACGGUCAAAGACCAAAUCCAGCGACCAAACUGUAUUUCGGGAUGGGGGCGCGCUUGCGCACAACGCAGGCCUAGCGCAUGCUGCGAGUUCACUUUUGUCCCGGUGUUCGCACCGAGCAGAGGCGGAGGCUGCCGCGAGCGCGUCCCCGGCGGUCGAAGCCCUCGGUGUCUAGGCGCAGCACAACAGCACGGAGUGCGACGACAGCGGCGUCCAUCCUGGAGCUCCAGGAGAUGAGGUCCUGGCGGCACCGCAUGGCCCAACGUGCAUGGCAAUGAUGGGACGUCGACGCCGCAGACGCGCGACUGCGGCGAGACAAGCAACUGCGCAAGGUAGGCUGGCGACGCUUGACGUCAUUAGCAGCGUGAUGGCGUGUGAAAUCAGCUUGUUCUACUUCUACCUCCCCUGUGUAACAGGAUUCUUACUAGAGUACCAGUCGUUAGAUACGCAUGUGCAUAUGGAUCUGUCUAUGGUUUGAAUCUGUGGAUUCCAUCCAAAAAUAGGAGACAGUUUGGAUUGGUUUGGGUGAAAAGCUCAUACAAUUUGGUUUGGUCUAGACUCUAGUCAAUAAAGUUUGGUUUGAUUUGGUUUCAA